GAUGAACGCUGGCGGCGUGCCUAAUACAUGCAAGUCGAGCGAACGGACGAGAAGCUUGCUUCUCUGAUGUUAGCGGCGGACGGGUGAGUAACACGUGGAUAACCUACCUAUAAGACUGGGAUAACUUCGGGAAACCGGAGCUAAUACCGGAUAAUAUUUUGAACCGCAUGGUUCAAAAGUGAAAGACGGUCUUGCUGUCACUUAUAGAUGGAUCCGCGCUGCAUUAGCUAGUUGGUAAGGUAACGGCUUACCAAGGCAACGAUGCAUAGCCGACCUGAGAGGGUGAUCGGCCACACUGGAACUGAGACACGGUCCAGACUCCUACGGGAGGCAGCAGUAGGGAAUCUUCCGCAAUGGGCGAAAGCCUGACGGAGCAACGCCGCGUGAGUGAUGAAGGUCUUCGGAUCGUAAAACUCUGUUAUUAGGGAAGAACAUAUGUGUAAGUAACUGUGCACAUCUUGACGGUACCUAAUCAGAAAGCCACGGCUAACUACGUGCCAGCAGCCGCGGUAAUACGUAGGUGGCAAGCGUUAUCCGGAAUUAUUGGGCGUAAAGCGCGCGUAGGCGGUUUUUUAAGUCUGAUGUGAAAGCCCACGGCUCAACCGUGGAGGGUCAUUGGAAACUGGAAAACUUGAGUGCAGAAGAGGAAAGUGGAAUUCCAUGUGUAGCGGUGAAAUGCGCAGAGAUAUGGAGGAACACCAGUGGCGAAGGCGACUUUCUGGUCUGUAACUGACGCUGAUGUGCGAAAGCGUGGGGAUCAAACAGGAUUAGAUACCCUGGUAGUCCACGCCGUAAACGAUGAGUGCUAAGUGUUAGGGGGUUUCCGCCCCUUAGUGCUGCAGCUAACGCAUUAAGCACUCCGCCUGGGGAGUACGACCGCAAGGUUGAAACUCAAAGGAAUUGACGGGGACCCGCACAAGCGGUGGAGCAUGUGGUUUAAUUCGAAGCAACGCGAAGAACCUUACCAAAUCUUGACAUCCUUUGACAACUCUAGAGAUAGAGCCUUCCCCUUCGGGGGACAAAGUGACAGGUGGUGCAUGGUUGUCGUCAGCUCGUGUCGUGAGAUGUUGGGUUAAGUCCCGCAACGAGCGCAACCCUUAAGCUUAGUUGCCAUCAUUAAGUUGGGCACUCUAAGUUGACUGCCGGUGACAAACCGGAGGAAGGUGGGGAUGACGCCAAAUCAUCAUGCCCCUUAUGAUUUGGGCUACACACGUGCUACAAUGGACAAUACAAAGGGCAGCGAAACCGCGAGGUCAAGCAAAUCCCAUAAAGUUGUUCUCAGUUCGGAUUGUAGUCUGCAACUCGACUACAUGAAGCUGGAGUCGCUAGUAAUCGUAGAUCAGCAUGCUACGGUGAAUACGUUCCCGGGUCU
RNAcentral lists this ribosomal RNA (1372 nucleotides) under uncultured bacterium. RNAcentral describes it as "bacterial SSU rRNA". It matches the Rfam family "Bacterial small subunit ribosomal RNA", at positions 28 to 1381 of the family's 1533-position model. The record is from RNAcentral.